RNAcentral lists this ribosomal RNA (194 nucleotides) under Proteus sp. G4379. RNAcentral's name for it is "partial 23S ribosomal RNA". The stretch from base 1 to 174 matches the Rfam family "Bacterial large subunit ribosomal RNA", at positions 2757 to 2925 of the family's 2925-position model. The record is from RNAcentral. Lineage: Bacteria; Pseudomonadati; Pseudomonadota; Gammaproteobacteria; Enterobacterales; Morganellaceae.
GGAAGAGAUAACCGCUGAAAGCAUCUAAGCGGGAAACUUGCCUCGAGAUGAGUCUUCCCUGUCGCUUUAAGCGACCUAAAGGAACGUUUAAGACUAAGACGUUGAUAGGCUGGGUGUGUAAGCGUAGCGAUACGUUGAGCUAACCAGUACUAAUGAACCGUGAGGCUUAACCUGACAACACCGAAAGUGUUUUG